RNAcentral lists this ribosomal RNA (804 nucleotides) under Streptomyces sp. RNAcentral describes it as "bacterial SSU rRNA". It matches the Rfam family "Bacterial small subunit ribosomal RNA", at positions 67 to 883 of the family's 1533-position model. The record is from RNAcentral. Lineage: Bacteria; Bacillati; Actinomycetota; Actinomycetes; Kitasatosporales; Streptomycetaceae.
CGAUGAACCUCCUUCGGGAGGGGAUUAGUGGCGAACGGGUGAGUAACACGUGGGCAAUCUGCCCUGCACUCUGGGACAAGCCCUGGAAACGGGGUCUAAUACCGGAUACGACUACCGACCGCAUGGUCUGGUGGUGGAAAGCUCCGGCGGUGCAGGAUGAGCCCGCGGCCUAUCAGCUUGUUGGUGAGGUAACGGCUCACCAAGGCGACGACGGGUAGCCGGCCUGAGAGGGCGACCGGCCACACUGGGACUGAGACACGGCCCAGACUCCUACGGGAGGCAGCAGUGGGGAAUAUUGCACAAUGGGCGCAAGCCUGAUGCAGCGACGCCGCGUGAGGGAUGACGGCCUUCGGGUUGUAAACCUCUUUCAGCAGGGAAGAAGCGCAAGUGACGGUACCUGCAGAAGAAGCGCCGGCUAACUACGUGCCAGCAGCCGCGGUAAUACGUAGGGCGCAAGCGUUGUCCGGAAUUAUUGGGCGUAAAGAGCUCGUAGGCGGCUUGUCGCGUCGGUUGUGAAAGCCCGGGGCUUAACCCCGGGUCUGCAGUCGAUACGGGCAGGCUAGAGUUCGGUAGGGGAGAUCGGAAUUCCUGGUGUAGCGGUGAAAUGCGCAGAUAUCAGGAGGAACACCGGUGGCGAAGGCGGAUCUCUGGGCCGAUACUGACGCUGAGGAGCGAAAGCGUGGGGAGCGAACAGGAUUAGAUACCCUGGUAGUCCACGCCGUAAACGGUGGGCACUAGGUGUGGGCCACAUUCCACGUGGUCCGUGCCGCAGCUAACGCAUUAAGUGCCCCGCCUGGGGAGUAC